AGCGAACGCUGGCGGCAGGCCUAACACAUGCAAGUCGAACGAACCUUUCGGGGUUAGUGGCGGACGGGUGAGUAACACGUGGGAACGUGCCUUUAGGUUCGGAAUAACUCAGGGAAACUUGUGCUAAUACCGAAUGUGCCCUUCGGGGGAAAGAUUUAUCGCCUUUAGAGCGGCCCGCGUCUGAUUAGCUAGUUGGUUGAGGUAAUGGCUCACCAAGGCGACGAUCAGUAGCUGGUCUGAGAGGAUGAUCAGCCACAUUGGGACUGAGACACGGCCCAAACUCCUACGGGAGGCAGCAGUAGGGAAUCUUGCGCAAUGGGGCAAAGCCUGACGACGCCAUGCCGCGUGAAUGAUGAAGGUCUUAGGAUUGUAAAAUUCUUUCACCGGGGACGAUAAUGACGGUACCCGGAGAAGAAGCCCCGGCUAACUUCGUG
Molecule: ribosomal RNA, 434 nt
Filed under: uncultured bacterium
Lineage: Bacteria
Description: partial 16S ribosomal RNA
Rfam family: Bacterial small subunit ribosomal RNA
Source: RNAcentral